Molecule: transfer RNA, 76 nt
Filed under: uncultured Phycisphaerae bacterium
Lineage: Bacteria; Pseudomonadati; Planctomycetota; Phycisphaerae
Description: tRNA-Leu-TAG
Rfam family: tRNA
About the family: Transfer RNA (tRNA) molecules are approximately 80 nucleotides in length. Their secondary structure includes four short double-helical elements and three loops (D, anti-codon, and T loops).
Source: RNAcentral
GGUGAAGUUGCGCAAUUGGCAGCGCACCGGUUGUAGAAGCCGGCGGUUGCGGGUUCGAGUCCCGCCUUCCCCACCA